AUGACGGCAGGUGUGUGGCGAAGCGGUGAGCGCUGGUGACAAGGCUGA
RNAcentral lists this small nucleolar RNA (48 nucleotides) under Pyrobaculum neutrophilum V24Sta. RNAcentral describes it as "PNEsR111". Lineage: Archaea; Thermoproteati; Thermoproteota; Thermoprotei; Thermoproteales; Thermoproteaceae. The record is from RNAcentral.